UACGUAGGCAGCAAGCGUUGUUCGGAUUUACUGGGCGUAAAGGGCGCGUAGGCGGCGUGACAAGUCACUUGUGAAAUCUCCGGGCUUAACUCGGAACGGUCAAGUGAUACUGUCGUGCUAGAGUACAGAAGGGGCAACUGGAAUUCUCGGUGUAGCGGUGAAAUGCGUAGAUAUCGAGAGGAACACCUGCGGCGAAGGCGGGUUGCUGGGCUGAUACUGACGCUGAGGCGCGAAAGCCAGGGGAGCGAACGGG
RNAcentral lists this ribosomal RNA (253 nucleotides) under uncultured bacterium. Its description in RNAcentral is "partial 16S ribosomal RNA". It matches the Rfam family "Bacterial small subunit ribosomal RNA", at positions 524 to 776 of the family's 1533-position model. The record is from RNAcentral.